CAAAUAACAAUUGUGGUUUACGCUCGGACUGGUAUGUGUGAGAUAAUGGUGCGGGGAAAUUUUGCUUCGCUUGUGCUUUCUGAUCGAGGCUGCUGGAUCUUUUCGAAACCCCAGCGAUGCUUGCGGAGGAUUUCAAUCUUUGUACAGUGAUCGAUAUCGUCCAUUCAGAGUAAACCAAUGGAGAUAGCGAUGCUCUAAAUUGUUAACUCAUUUUGCAGUCUGCAGUAUGAAAUCUUGAGCAAUGCUGAUGAUUAAUCAGCGGCUCUAACGCUUACAGGAUCUUUCAUGUAGAAUAAUUGGAUUGUGUAAGGAAUCGAUAUUUAUAUCUUGUCACACAAUCUGGAUUGUAUCUAUUUCAGAGAAGAUGUCACAACGUUUUCGUCAUUAUGAAAAUAAAAUGUUGAAAUUUGAUACAAUAUUAAACCAUAUUUUUAUCAGA
Molecule: long non-coding RNA, 439 nt
Organism: Coccinella septempunctata (seven-spotted ladybird)
Lineage: Eukaryota; Metazoa; Arthropoda; Insecta; Coleoptera; Coccinellidae
Exons: 2
Source: RefSeq, a predicted model, not a curated record